UCCGGUUUGUCACCGGCAGUCCCAUUAGAGUGCUCAACUGAAUGUGGCAACUAAUGGCAAGGGUUGCGCUCGUUGCGGGACUUAACCCAACAUCUCACGACACGAGCUGACGACAGCCAUGCAGCACCUGUGUUACGGCUCCCUUUCGGGCACCUCCACAUCUCUGUGAAGUUCCGUACAUGUCAAGGGUAGGUAAGGUUUUUCGCGUUGCAUCGAAUUAAACCACAUCAUCCACCGCUUGUGCGGGUCCCCGUCAAUUCCUUUGAGUUUUAAUCUUGCGACCGUACUCCCCAGGCGGGGCACUUAAUGCGUUAGCUGCGGCACCCAGGGGGACUGCCGGCGUUAAGCCGGAGGAAGGUGGGGAU
RNAcentral lists this unclassified non-coding RNA (365 nucleotides) under uncultured Gammaproteobacteria bacterium. RNAcentral's name for it is "contains 16S-23S intergenic spacer region". Lineage: Bacteria; Pseudomonadati; Pseudomonadota; Gammaproteobacteria. The record is from RNAcentral.